UUUUUUUUUUUUGGCCACACCUGAAGCACCUGGAAGUUCUUGGGUCAGGGAUGAAACCUGAGUCACCUCAGUGACAAGGUCGGAGCCUUAACCCACUCACUGCACCACAAGAGAGCUCCUCCUUGAGUUAAUUUCUUUUACAACACAGGAAAAAACCCAAACGAGGGGUUUUCAUGGUUUCCAUAGGAGACUGGGUUUAAAGGUGACACUGCUGCAUCUCUAUGAGGGCUGGGGGCAGCAGCCACAUACAAAGUCUGCUAGGAAAGUCCCCCCACUAACACACACACACACACACACACCUGGGUGGCCCUCAGCUCCAGCCUUGGACAUUUUAUCCUUCUCUUUAACCUUGGACAUUUUACUUCUCUUUAAGGAAACUAAUUUCCUCACAGAGCAGCAGCUGGGGUUUUAGACUUGGCGUCUCUUCAGAGUAGCCAUGCAUAAAAGAAGGAAACUCAUUCUUUAUAAACUUGGAGAAGAAAAUGUCCUCGAUUUUCCUGAAAUUGACUUGGGAGCUGUGGUUUACACAUCCUGAGCCACGCUCUUGGUAUAUUCUCAGGGAAUUGCCAGCGACAGUGUGACCCCUUCAGGAAGCUGGGGGCUUCAAAGGUGAGGCCUGUACACAAGGGGGCGGACACCUGCUCUGCCUGUAAAGAGGAGGAAACGUGGAAAAGGACCACGGCCUCUGAGCCUGUAAAUCAGCUGCAUCGACGCCUAAGGAAAAGAGAACUCAAGGAGAUAAAGCGAGCAAGGUCCUGGGAGACGCUUGGCGAGGUCUUGAUCUCAGGAGCAGAGAUCAGCUCAUUUAUACACAGUUCUGAGUAGUUUUUUUUUUUUUUUAAAUAAGCAAAAGCAUUUGAACCUACACAACAAUAAUGCAGAGUAACAGGUACUCCACAGAGUCAGCACCUGACAGACAGUGCUUUCCCGAUGUCCCAGGGCAUGUUCAGAAGGGGACUAAAGGACGGAUCUUUCUGGAACAUAGUGAUCAUGGAAAAACUGAGCUGGUGAGAGCUUUAAUUCCUAUAAUAAGGGGGGGAUCCAAAGAAAAAUGUCAUCUACUUAUUAAUAAUCAUCCCCUGUAAUUAGAGCACCAGCUUCUCCUUCUGCCUACAUGAAUUUAUUCUUUUUUUUUUUUGGUCUUUUUAGGGCUGCACCUGUGGCAUUUGGAGGUUCCCAGGCUAGGGUCUUGGAGUGCAACUCAGGCAUCAGCAUUUUAUAAAACUCACUAAGUGGUCUGGGGUCCAGCCAAGGUCAAGAACUACUGCUUUAAAUCCCACUCCUGGGCAUAUAUCUUGAGAAAAUCAUAAUACAAAGACACAUGCACCCCAAUGUUCACUGCAGCAAUACUUACAAUAGCAAAGACAAGGAAACAACCUAAAUUCCAUUGAUAGAGGAAUGGAUAAAGAAGUGGUAAUAUAUACACAAUGGAAUACUACUCAGCCAUAAAAAGAAUGAGAUGCCAUUUGCAGCAACAUGGAUGGACUUAGAGAUGAUCAUACCACGUGUGAAGUUAGCCAGAGAUAAAUACAUGAUAUCACUGAUAUGUGGAAUCUAAAAUAUGACAGAAAGGAAUUUAUCUACAAAACAGAAGCAAACUCACAGACACAGAGAGUAGUCUUGUGGCUGGCAAGGUGGCGGGGGGGAGGGAGGGAGGGAAGGGGUGGGCCCGUGGGAUUAGCAGAGGCAGACUACCAUAUACAGGAUGGAUAAACAAUGAGGCCCUACUGUGCAGCACAGGAAACUCUAUUCAACAUCCUGUGAUAAACCAUAAUGGAAAAGAGUAUGAAAAAGAGUGUAAAUAUAUGUAUAACUGAAUCACUCUGCAGUAGAGCAGAAGUUAACACAACACAGUAAAUCAACUACAAUAAAAUUAAAAAAAAAAGAACUACGGCUUUAGAAGGUGACAGGGUACACAGCAGAUGGAGAGGUGGCAGUUCCAAUGUUCUGUUAGCUUCACUCCAAAAUGCUGAUGGCAGGGAGUUUGAAAGGUUAUCCAGCUUCUUAAAGCGCUUCUCCACACCCUCAUUUUUCUGCUCUCCACCCUCAACUAUUUGGUGGAUGUUAUCACUCUUCAGAUGGAUGCAAAGAAUCAACCUAAAUGGGUACUUUUCUGAGUCUAAAUAGGGCCAUUUAGGAGUUCCCACUGUGGCACAGUGGGUUAAGAAUCUGACUGCAGCAGCUCAGGUCGAUGCAGAGGCAUGGGUUAGAUCCCCAGCCUGGUGCAGUGGGUUAAAGGAUCUGGUGUUGCCACAGCUGUAGCUCAGAUUCAAACCCUGGCUGGGGAACUGCCAUAUGCCCAGGGUGCGGCCAUAAAAAAAAAUGCCUGUUUAUCAUUAAACGUUUUGUAAAUGAGUUCCUGCAAAGCUAAGGUUACAUGUGACAGCCAAAGAGACACAUGAAUUGCAAGUAAAACACUUUAUUAUUUCCAUCAAUAAUAAUAAUAAUACCCUCUAAAAGGCAAUGCUAAUACCCAAUGUGUACGUAAUGGACACUAAUACUCCUUCUCUGCCAAUCUCUAGGAUUUUGGUUCACAUUCCUUUGGGGACAGUAUCUCCAACUUAAAAAAAAAAAAAAAAGAUUCAAACAACAAACCCCCCCAACAUUUCCCAUAUUAUAAAGGGAAGAAAGAGAUCAGUAAUUCCUGAAUUUGAGUGUUCUUUGAAUCCCAAAUGUCCUCUAUACAUAAAAGGUAUUAUUAGAAAAUACUGCAUGUGACCUGAACUCAAAGAUGGAAAGAGUCUAUGUAUAAGAGCCAGGCAACCCCUUGGCCAGCAUCCUGGGUGCUUCCCAUGUGACCAAUCUGCAUUUGGACUCUGGGAUCUCGCCCAGAUGGAGUAGGAUUCCUUAUCCUGGAGUCUUUGAAAAGCAAGAACAAGAGCUAGAUGGAAGUUUCCAGGGGGUUGUUUCUAAGUACAUUAUCCUGCUAUUUUGUUUGCAUCAAUCUAAACACAGGUUUCAGAUCUCACACAGGUGGAGACAGUUUGGACCAGUCAAAGUCAGACAUCAACAGAGCACAGUCAAGGUACUUAUAUAAACGAGUUCUAUGGCUUCAUGAUGCUAAUAACAAUAAAAAUGGAAGUGAAACAGUGUUUGAGACUCUACUAUUCACCAGAUACAGUGCUUGUCAUGUGUCUCCCUUAAGCUCCCAACAACCUAUGUGGCAGACAUGAUUAUUACCACACCUGUUUUGCAAGUAAGAAACCUGAGAAUCAGGAGGUCAGAGUCACAUGGUAAGUGGUGGAGAAAAAUCUGAUUCAGGUGGCCUGACUCCCAAGUUCACAUCCUUAAACACUCUGCUCUCUCUCCUCACACUCACCAGCCAAGCUGAGGCCGCUGGUGACCAGCAGAGUCACGAGAGCUGAAGUCAAGGGUCAGGCCUGGGGUCUUGUUGAGCUCAGGGUCACCAUGGGGUGUGGCUGUCUCCUACCCCCUGGCUGGACCUGAGCAAGGCCAGUUCGUGGAGUGUGUUAGGAUCCUGGGACGCUAAGGCAUCCGAAAAAAACCUCAUCCCAAAGGAGCAUCCAGCAAAGGGACAGCCAUCUCCUUGAUGACUUGGACUGAGCUGGCUGCCUUGCCAGGAUGACAGGCCAGGUGCCUGCUCAUUCACUGUCUUCAGGGGAUGUCAGGGGCCAGCCCACAAGUCUGGGGAUGGGGCGGAGGGUGCAGACUGAGCAGCUCACCAUCUGCAACGCUGCUGGCCAGGCUCUGAGGCUAAGAAAGGGUGGGAGGUGAAGAAAAAGGCCUUGUUUCUCUGCACUCAGACAGGAAAAAGGAGCGGCAUGGAAUUGAGAGGCUAAGCCGAACAGG
Molecule: long non-coding RNA, 3810 nt
Filed under: Sus scrofa (pig)
Lineage: Eukaryota; Metazoa; Chordata; Mammalia; Artiodactyla; Suidae
Description: lncRNA (ENSSSCG00005040403.1)
Source: RNAcentral